Molecule: ribosomal RNA, 254 nt
Filed under: uncultured bacterium
Lineage: Bacteria
Description: partial 16S ribosomal RNA
Rfam family: Bacterial small subunit ribosomal RNA
Source: RNAcentral
UACGGAGGAUCCAAGCGUUAUCCGGAAUCAUUGGGUUUAAAGGGUCCGUAGGCGGCCCUGUAAGUCAGCGGUGAAAUCUCCCGGCUCAACCGGGAAACUGCCGUUGAUACUGCAGGGCUUGAAUUGCAGGGAAGUGGCUAGAAUAUGUAGUGUAGCGGUGAAAUGCUUAGAGAUUACAUGGAAUACCGAUUGCGAAGGCAGGCCACUACCUGCGGAUUGACGCUGAUGGACGAAAGCGUGGGGAGCGAACAGGA